CCGCACAAGCGGUGGAGCAUGUGGUUAAUUCGACGCAACGCGAAGAACCUUACCAGGACUUGACAUCCCCUGACCGCGUAUGAAAGUACGUUUUCACCCUCGGGUGACAGGGAGACAGGUGGUGCAUGGUUGUCGUCAGCUCGUGUCGUGAGAUGUUGGGUUAAGUCCCGCAACGAGCGCAACCCCUACGUUUAGUUGCUAACGCGUGAAGGCGAGCACUCUAGACGAACUGCCGUUGACAAAACGGAGGAAGGUGGGAUGACGUCAAAUCAUCAUGCCCCUUAUGUUCUGGGCUACACACGUGCUACAAUGGCCGGUACAGACGGAGGCGAAGCCGCGAGGCGGAGCAAAUCCGAAAAAGCCGGUCUCAGUUCGGAUUGCAGGCUGCAAUUCGCCUGCAUGAAGUCGGAAUCGCUAGUAAUCGCAGGUCAGCAUACUGCGGUGAAUACGUUCCCGGGCCUU
Molecule: ribosomal RNA, 462 nt
Filed under: uncultured Pelotomaculum sp.
Lineage: Bacteria; Bacillati; Bacillota; Clostridia; Eubacteriales; Desulfotomaculaceae
Description: bacterial SSU rRNA
Rfam family: Bacterial small subunit ribosomal RNA
Source: RNAcentral